AUUACUUUGACAGAAACCCAAUGUAAUAAAUUUAGAAUUUAUUUAUGUAAUAAUUUACAAGUAAUA
Molecule: transfer RNA, 66 nt
Filed under: Histeromerus sp. QL-2013
Lineage: Eukaryota; Metazoa; Arthropoda; Insecta; Hymenoptera; Braconidae
Description: tRNA-Leu
Source: RNAcentral